CGUAUUUUUCUUGCUUCCCAUUUUCUUUUCUUCUAACCAAACAGAUGAUAAAAAUGUGCUAUGAAAACCUAAUUUAUUUUAUUAUACCGGCUAAUUCACCCUCAAAAAGACUAUGUCGGACUUUGAUUUUUCAAUUAUUUACAUGGGUUGAUUUAUGGAGUCAACAUAGCUAUUUCACAACCACUUGCAUGUACUAUCAAUUUUCUC
This 207-nucleotide long non-coding RNA is filed under the name Trifolium pratense (red clover). RNAcentral's name for it is "long non-coding RNA (TPRA_LNC008058)". The record is from RNAcentral. Lineage: Eukaryota; Viridiplantae; Streptophyta; Magnoliopsida; Fabales; Fabaceae.